RNAcentral lists this small RNA (849 nucleotides) under Cryptococcus neoformans H99. RNAcentral describes it as "Cryptococcus neoformans var. grubii H99 hypothetical RNA". The record is from RNAcentral. Lineage: Eukaryota; Fungi; Basidiomycota; Tremellomycetes; Tremellales; Cryptococcaceae.
GGCGGCUAACCUCCAUUUUCUGCAAUCCCAUAUAUCUUUGAAGCGCAAGGGAGACCUUCGCCAUCAACUGUCCUCCUCCGACCUUGCCAAGUUCCUUCGUGCGCUGAUUCAUCUUCUCCUCCGUCUCCUCUUCCACCAAUCCAUUUGAGACAACUAAGGGCUUGAAGGCUCCCCCACAAACUAAGGAGCGGUGCUGCUCUUAUUAGAAGAAAAGAUUGGUCUUUUUUCUGUAAAAUGGAUGAUGGCAUAGCGACUACAUACUACAUACUACCAAGAAUAAGACCAGAAUAAGGGUCGUGAACAAAAAGGUUAAACACUGGGAAUCGCAUACAGGCACUGUGGAAACGUAUAGCGGACAUGUGAAUGUGUGAUACAAGAUCAGUCAAACUCAAUCCCCCAUUUUACACCUUGCUAAUGGUACUUGGGGUACCACUCUUUUCUUCCACGUUUUCCACCAUCUCGACCUCCAUUUUGGGAACUUGUGCAGGAUUGUUAGUCGAGUUGAGAGCCUCUUUGCAGAUGAUCUGCAGGAUGUCAUCUCUUGCCUGUGCAUCCUCAAUUGCUGUGCGAGAUUUGAAGACGGCGUCCAUCUGUUCAAGAGUACGGCCCCUGUGAUACGUAAAAAGGUUGAUGAUCAGUGGGAUGCCAUGUACUUUAGGACAGUUAGAUACUGACUUGGUUUCGGGUACGAAGACGAAGGCCCAAACACCGGCCAAGAUAGACCAAAUGGCGAAGAAGAUGAAUGCUCCGUAUCCUUUGGUACCGGAAACGAGGGGAGGAGUGAUUAGGCCCUAUCGAUUGCCAAGUUUGUUAGCAUACAAUGAUAGAUUCCAAGAAGGUGGAUGACUG